Molecule: ribosomal RNA, 716 nt
Filed under: uncultured bacterium
Lineage: Bacteria
Description: bacterial SSU rRNA
Rfam family: Bacterial small subunit ribosomal RNA
Source: RNAcentral
CUACACAUGACGCUGGCGGCAUCCUUACAGAUUCAUGUCGAACGGUAACAGGUCUUCGGAUGCUGACGAGUGGCGAACGUGAGUAAUACAAUCGGAACGUGCCCGAGAGUGGGGGAUAACGAAGCGAAAGCUUUGCUAAUACCGCAUACGAUCUCAGGAUGAAAGCAGGGGACCGCCAGGACUUGCGCUCACUGAGCGGCCAAUGGCAGAUUAAGUAGUAGGUGGGAUAAAAGCUUACCAAGACCGACGAUCUUGUAGACUGGUCUUGAGAAGGCGGACAGACACACUGGGACUGAGACACCUGACCAGAAUCCUACGGGAAGCCAGCAGUGGGGAAUUUUUGGAACAUGGGCGCGAGACUGAUCCAGCCAUGACGCGUGAAAGAAUGAAAGACUUCGAGGUUUGGUAACCUGAUUUAUGUACGGGAACGACAAAGACUCUGGGUUAAUACCUGGGGGUCCCUGAACGGUAACGUAAGAAUAAGCACCGGGUAAAUACAUUGCAACAAGCCGGGAAAUACGUAUGGUGCGAAAGUUAAACUGAAUUACUGGGCGUAAAAGUUGACAGGCGGGAAUGUAACAACACUGUCGAAUCCCCGGGGACAACCAGUGGAACUGGAUUUUGACAGGAAUAACAUGAAUAAGGGAAAAGGGGAAUUAAAUCAGCGUGUAUCACGGGAAUGCGUAAAUUUCCGAGGGCACCCCAUGCGAAAGAAA